RNAcentral lists this non-coding RNA (26 nucleotides) under Rattus norvegicus (Norway rat). The record is from RNAcentral. Lineage: Eukaryota; Metazoa; Chordata; Mammalia; Rodentia; Muridae.
UGAAGAAAACCAAAGCGCAGACCUUC